This 440-nucleotide ribosomal RNA is filed under the name uncultured bacterium. RNAcentral's name for it is "partial 16S ribosomal RNA". It matches the Rfam family "Bacterial small subunit ribosomal RNA", at positions 338 to 795 of the family's 1533-position model. The record is from RNAcentral.
CCUACGGGAGGCAGCAGUGGGGAAUAUUGCACAAUGGGGGAAACCCUGAUGCAGCGACGCCGCGUGAGUGAAGAAGGAAUUCGUUACGUAAAGCUCUAUCAGCAGGGAAGAAAAUGACGGUACCUGAGCAAGAAGCCCCGGCGAACUACGUGGCAGCAGCCGCGGUAAUACGUAGGGGGCAAGCGUUAUCCGGAUUUACUGGGUGUAAAGGGAGCGUAGUCGGUGCGCCAAGUCUGGAGUGAAAUGCCGCGGCUUAACUGCGGAACUGCUUUGGAAACUGGCGAACUAGAGUGCGGGAGGGGUAAGCGGAAUGCCUGGUGUAGCGGUGAAAUGCGUAGAUAUUAGGAGGAACACCGGUGGCGAAGGCGGCUUGCUGGACCGUAACUGACGUUGAGGCUCGAAAGCGUGGGGAGCAAACAGGAUUAGAUACCCCAGUAGUC